AGAACGAACGCUGGCGGCAGGCUUAACACAUGCAAGUCGAGCGCCCCGCAAGGGGAGCGGCAGACGGGUGAGUAACGCGUGGGAACGUACCCCCCGGUUCGGAAUAACUCAGGGAAACUUGAGCUAAUACCGGAUACGGCUGGAAGGCGAAAGAUUCAUCGCCGGGGGAUCGGCCCGCGUCCGAUUAGCUAGUUGGUGUGGUAACGGCGCACCAAGGCGACGAUCGGUAGCUGGUCUGAGAGGAUGAUCAGCCACAUUGGGACUGAGACACGGCCCAAACUCCUACGGGAGGCAGCAGUGGGGAAUAUUGGACAAUGGCGCAAGCCUGAUCCAGCCAUGCCGCGUGAGUGAUGAAGGCCUUAGGGUUGUAAAGCUCUUUCACCCACGACGAUAAUGACGGUAGUGGGAGAAGAAGCCCCGGCUAACUUCGUGCCAGCAGCCGC
Molecule: ribosomal RNA, 443 nt
Filed under: uncultured bacterium
Lineage: Bacteria
Description: SSU rRNA
Rfam family: Bacterial small subunit ribosomal RNA
Source: RNAcentral